UAAUAUAUGUCUUACCGAAGACAGUAGGGGGCUUAGGCCAUAAUAUUCCUACCGAGGAAGAAUCCAGUUGAGAAUUACACGGAUCCUCUAUGUCUAGGUGGCAUAGAGUUUUUUGUUUUUU
Molecule: small RNA, 121 nt
Filed under: Jeotgalibaca porci
Lineage: Bacteria; Bacillati; Bacillota; Bacilli; Lactobacillales; Carnobacteriaceae
Description: Ribosomal protein L10 leader
Rfam family: Ribosomal protein L10 leader
About the family: This family is a putative r-protein leader autoregulatory structure found in B. subtilis and other low-GC Gram-positive bacteria. It is located in the 5' untranslated regions of mRNAs encoding ribosomal proteins L10 and L12 (rplJ-rplL).
Source: RNAcentral